ACCCGGGCGGCGGACAGGGCUAAGUGGGCAGUUUGACUGGGGCGGUCACCUCCUAAAAGGUAACGGAGGUGCACAAAGGUUCCCUCAGUGUGUAUGGAAAUCACACGUCGAGUGUAAAGGUAUAAGGGAGCUUGACUGCGAGACAUACAGGUCGAGCAGGUGCGAAAGCAGGUCUUAGUGAUCCGGCGGUUCUGUAUGGAAAGGCCGUCGCUCAACGGAUAAAAGCUACUCCGGG
RNAcentral lists this ribosomal RNA (235 nucleotides) under Cyclophora tenuis. RNAcentral describes it as "partial Bacterial large subunit ribosomal RNA". It matches the Rfam family "Bacterial large subunit ribosomal RNA", at positions 2238 to 2472 of the family's 2925-position model. Lineage: Eukaryota; Bacillariophyta; Fragilariophyceae; Cyclophorales; Cyclophoraceae. The record is from RNAcentral.